This 28-nucleotide small RNA is filed under the name Bombyx mori (domestic silkworm). RNAcentral describes it as "ovarian small RNA-1597". The record is from RNAcentral. Lineage: Eukaryota; Metazoa; Arthropoda; Insecta; Lepidoptera; Bombycidae.
UUAUGGUAUGCGCAAAACACGUUAAAGG